RNAcentral lists this ribosomal RNA (467 nucleotides) under uncultured bacterium. RNAcentral describes it as "partial 16S ribosomal RNA". It matches the Rfam family "Bacterial small subunit ribosomal RNA", at positions 28 to 507 of the family's 1533-position model. The record is from RNAcentral.
GACGAACGCUGGCGGCGUGCUUAACACAUGCAAGUCGAACGGAAAGGCCCUGCUUUUGUGGGGUGCUCGAGUGGCGAACGGGUGAGUAACACGUGAGUAACCUGCCCUUGACUUUGGGAUAACUUCAGGAAACUGGGGCUAAUACCGGAUAGGAGCUCCUGCUGCAUGGUGGGGUUGGAAAGUUUCGGCGGUUGGGGAUGGACUCGCGGCUUAUCAGCUUGUUGGUGGGGUAGUGGCUUACCAAGGCUUUGACGGGUAGCCGGCCUGAGAGGGUGACCGGCCACAUUGGGACUGAGAUACGGCCCAGACUCCUACGGGAGGCAGCAGUGGGGAAUAUUGCACAAUGGGCGGAAGCCUGAUGCAGCAACGCCGCGUGCGGGAUGACGGCCUUCGGGUUGUAAGCCGCUUUCGCCUGUGACGAAGCGUGAGUGACGGUAAUGGGUAAAGAAGCACCGGCUAACUACGUG